GUGAAUCAUCAAAUUUUUGAACGCAAAUUGCACUCUCGGCGAAGAGUAGGCCUGUUUGAGGGUCAGACUAAAAAAAAUCGACAUAAUCGCUGUUUCGCGGUGACAUUCGUCGGAAGGUGGGUGAUCUUGAAUCUUUGGGUUUUUUAAGCUGCUUGAAAUUUUCGUUACGAUUAGACGAACGUUUUUAAGAUGUUAGUUCUUACACGCUUUUAAGAUAUCGAUUUUUAUUAU
This 231-nucleotide unclassified non-coding RNA is filed under the name Glomus sp. RNAcentral's name for it is "partial contains 5.8S ribosomal RNA and internal transcribed spacer 2". Lineage: Eukaryota; Fungi; Glomeromycota; Glomeromycetes; Glomerales; Glomeraceae. The record is from RNAcentral.